Molecule: long non-coding RNA, 323 nt
Organism: Strongylocentrotus purpuratus (purple sea urchin)
Lineage: Eukaryota; Metazoa; Echinodermata; Echinoidea; Camarodonta; Strongylocentrotidae
Exons: 2
Source: RefSeq, a predicted model, not a curated record
CCAGAAUCCCUUCGUGCUGGUUAGUCUUGCUCUAGAGGGAGCUGGAUGUUCCCAAGUUUCGAAGACAUUUUUUGAAGGCACUUUGUCAUUCUAUGAGCUUAGAUCACUGAUCUUUGACCUGACCACACCGAUCCUGGAGAAGUUACGUAAAACGGUACGUGAACUUGGAAUAGAGGAGGAAGUUGAAGGGGGUCUAGGUCCACAAGAGCUUUAUGACGCUCUAUGUUGCUGGAAGGAGAAACACAACCGAGCAGAUCAAGCAAAGAUCUUAAGAGAUGCACUUGAAAGAGCCGAUUUUGAAGAAGCUUGGCUCAUUAUUCUAG